RNAcentral lists this long non-coding RNA (210 nucleotides) under Panax ginseng (ginseng). RNAcentral's name for it is "long non-coding RNA (PGIN_LNC018863)". Lineage: Eukaryota; Viridiplantae; Streptophyta; Magnoliopsida; Apiales; Araliaceae. The record is from RNAcentral.
GCCAGAAGAAAAAUCACUCUAAGAUUGCAAAGUAGAAGCCAUAUCGUAGAGUCAAUGUGACGCCUCCAAAUUCGUGUAUUCGCUACAAUAGACUUGGUGCUCACAAUUCAUCUACAUUCAUAAUGACUAGCUAUUAAUAUAAGCUAAAUUAAACCAAUUAAUACAUUUAUUUACAUAAAUUUAGUCUUACCAUCCCAUGACUUAAUUACA